GGUGACUCAGCGGUAGAGUGCUUGCCUUGCAUUCAUGAGACCCUGGGUUUGAUUCCUAGGCACCA
Molecule: transfer RNA, 65 nt
Filed under: Dipodomys ordii (Ord's kangaroo rat)
Lineage: Eukaryota; Metazoa; Chordata; Mammalia; Rodentia; Heteromyidae
Rfam family: tRNA
About the family: Transfer RNA (tRNA) molecules are approximately 80 nucleotides in length. Their secondary structure includes four short double-helical elements and three loops (D, anti-codon, and T loops). Further hydrogen bonds mediate the characteristic L-shaped molecular structure. tRNAs have two regions of fundamental functional importance: the anti-codon, which is responsible for specific mRNA codon recognition, and the 3' end, to which the tRNAs corresponding amino acid is attached (by aminoacyl-tRNA synthetases). tRNAs cope with the degeneracy of the genetic code in two manners: having more than one tRNA (with a specific anti-codon) for a particular amino acid; and 'wobble' base-pairing, i.e. permitting non-standard base-pairing at the 3rd anti-codon position.
Source: Rfam by way of RNAcentral